RNAcentral lists this transfer RNA (87 nucleotides) under Bacteroidales bacterium. RNAcentral describes it as "tRNA-Leu". It matches the Rfam family "tRNA". From Rfam's summary of the family: Transfer RNA (tRNA) molecules are approximately 80 nucleotides in length. Their secondary structure includes four short double-helical elements and three loops (D, anti-codon, and T loops). Further hydrogen bonds mediate the characteristic L-shaped molecular structure. tRNAs have two regions of fundamental functional importance: the anti-codon, which is responsible for specific mRNA codon recognition, and the 3' end, to which the tRNAs corresponding amino acid is attached (by aminoacyl-tRNA synthetases). tRNAs cope with the degeneracy of the genetic code in two manners: having more than one tRNA (with a specific anti-codon) for a particular amino acid; and 'wobble' base-pairing, i.e. permitting non-standard base-pairing at the 3rd anti-codon position. Lineage: Bacteria; Pseudomonadati; Bacteroidota; Bacteroidia; Bacteroidales. RNAcentral also lists the same sequence under 1 other name. The record is from RNAcentral.
GCCGAAGUGGCGGAAUAGGUAGACGCGUUGGUCUCAAAAACCAAUGAGGUAACACUCGUACCGGUUCGAUCCCGGUCUUCGGUACCA